RNAcentral lists this ribosomal RNA (497 nucleotides) under uncultured bacterium. RNAcentral's name for it is "partial 16S ribosomal RNA". It matches the Rfam family "Bacterial small subunit ribosomal RNA", at positions 28 to 507 of the family's 1533-position model. The record is from RNAcentral.
GAUGAACGCUGGCGGCGUGCCUAAUACAUGCAAGUCGAGCGAACAGACGAGGAGCUUGCUCCUCUGACGUUAGCGGCGGACGGGUGAGUAACACGUGGAUAACCUACCUAUAAGACUGGGAUAACUUCGGGAAACCGGAGCUAAUACCGGAUAAUAUAUUGAACCGCAUUGUUCAAUAGUGAAAGACGGUUUUGCUGUCACUUAUAGAUGGAUCCGCGCCGCAUUAGCUAGUUGGUAAGGUAACGGCUUACCAAGGCAACGAUGCGUAGCCGACCUGAGAGGGUGAUCGGCCACACUGGAACUGAGACACGGUCCAGACUCAUACGGGAGGCAGCAGUAGGGAAUCUUCCGCAAUGGGCGAAAGCCUGACGGAGCAACGCCGCGUGAGUGAUGAAGGUCUUCGGAUCGUAAAACUCUGUUAUUAGGGAAGAACAAAUGUGUAAGUAACUAUGCACGUCUUGACGGUACCUAAUCAGAAAGCCACGGCUAACUACGUG